Molecule: non-coding RNA, 73 nt
Organism: Zea mays
Lineage: Eukaryota; Viridiplantae; Streptophyta; Magnoliopsida; Poales; Poaceae
Source: Rfam
GCCCAUCUAGCCCACUUGGUGGAGCACAAGACUUCUAACCUUGUGGUCGUGGGUUCAAACCCCACAGUUUGCA